RNAcentral lists this ribosomal RNA (249 nucleotides) under Triticum aestivum (bread wheat). Its description in RNAcentral is "partial small subunit ribosomal RNA". Lineage: Eukaryota; Viridiplantae; Streptophyta; Magnoliopsida; Poales; Poaceae. The record is from RNAcentral.
AUGCCAAUUAGGGGCAGAUCCCAAUGGCCCAAGGUAAAUCCUGGAUUUGAUAUGAUCUCUCCCAAACUUACCAAGAGUGAUGGACGUCCAAGAACUAGGAGGAUAAAGAAUUACACCGAAGGUGGAACCGGUAGAAGACAUAAAUGCAAAAGAUGUGGAGCAAUAGGCCAUCUUCGAAAGACAUGCAAGGAGCCUAAGAUGGAAAGUGACGCGGAUCGAGAUGCUACUCCUCCUCCGCGGUAUUCAUAA